CCUACGGGUGGCAGCAGUGAGGAAUAUUGGUCAAUGGGCGGAAGCCUGAACCAGCCAAGUAGCGUGCAGGAUGACGGCCCUACGGGUUGUAAACUGCUUUUAUACGGGAAUAACGCGCCUUACGUGUAGGGCUUUGCAUGUACCGUAUGAAUAAGGACCGGCUAAUUCCGUGCCAGCAGCCGCGGUAAUACGGAAGGUCCGGGCGUUAUCCGGAUUUAUUGGGUUUAAAGGGAGCGUAGGCGGGCGUUCAAGUCAGCUGUAAAAUCGCGCGGCUCAACCGCGCCCCGCAGUUGAAACUGGACGCCUUGAGUUCACAACAGGCAGGCGGAAUUCGUGGUGUAGCGGUGAAAUGCAUAGAUAUCACGAGGAACCCCGAUUGCGAAGGCAGCCUGCCGGGGUGCGACUGACGCUGAGGCUCGAAGGUGCGGGUAUCAAACAGGAUUAGAUACCCCAGUAGUC
This 459-nucleotide ribosomal RNA is filed under the name uncultured bacterium. RNAcentral describes it as "partial 16S ribosomal RNA". It matches the Rfam family "Bacterial small subunit ribosomal RNA", at positions 338 to 795 of the family's 1533-position model. The record is from RNAcentral.